This 658-nucleotide ribosomal RNA is filed under the name uncultured archaeon. RNAcentral's name for it is "bacterial SSU rRNA". It matches the Rfam family "Archaeal small subunit ribosomal RNA", at positions 175 to 817 of the family's 1478-position model. The record is from RNAcentral.
AUGAGUCUUCGCCAAAAAGACGCUUAGGUUAUGCUCUUAGGUGUCGCCCAAGGAUGAGGCCGCGACCGAUCAGGUUGUUGGUGAGGUAAUGGCUCACCAAGCCUUUUACCGGUGCGGGCCGUGAGAGCGGGAGCCCGGAGAUGGGCACUGAGACAAGGGCCCAGGCCCUACGGGGCGCAGCAGUCGCGAAAACUUUGCAAUACACGAAAGUGUGACAGGGCUAUCCCGAGUGCCAUCCGCUGAGGAAGGCUUUUACCCAGUCUAGAACGCUGGGGGAAUAAGGAGAGGGCAAGUCUGGUGUCAGCCGCCGCGGUAAUACCAGCUCUCCGAGUGGUGUGGAUGUUUAUUGGGCCUAAAGCAUCCGUAGCUGGCUAAGUUAGUCCCUUGUUAAAUCCACCGAAUUAAUCGUUGGAUUGCGGGGGAUACUGCUUGGCUAGGGGACGAGAGAGGCAGACGGUAUUUCCGGGGUAGGGGUGAAAUCCUAUAAUCCCGGGAAGACCACCAGUGGCGAAGGCUGUCUGCUAGAACGCGCCCGACGGUGAGGGAUGAAAGCUGGGGGAGCGAACCGGAUUAGAUACCCGGGUAGUCCCAGCUGUAAACGAUGCAGGCUAGGUGUUUGGACGGCCACGUGCCGUUCUAGUGCCGCAGGAAGCUGUUA